AGGAUAUGGUCGGUACGUUUCUACCUGCAGAAUGACUGAAAUACUCAUGACGUCACUAUAAUCGAACGACCUGAAUAUACUAAUUGCAAAAUAACGAUACUGCAAUCAUUUCAAAAAAUUGGAGAAUCAUGUUGACUUCAGUCGUCUCAAGGGUGUUGAGCCUUCCAGAUCCCAUUCAAAGUAAAGCUACAUAAUUGCCAUUGGCCGUAUGCAAGACAAGCCGACCAAAGAGACAGAAAUUUACAAAUGAACGCGAAGGACGUCUCGUGGCGUCUCUCGGUAAAGAAAUCAGCAAAUCUACACAAAAGCUCUUCUAACUUAUGACCUUGCGAAACGUGAUCUGAAAUUGGCGCGGCUGGCUGAAGAAGAGGAGAAAAAACAUGUUCAGGGCUGACCGGCGGUGGUCUCUGGCUGAAGAAUUUUCAAAA
Molecule: long non-coding RNA, 428 nt
Organism: Cephus cinctus (wheat stem sawfly)
Lineage: Eukaryota; Metazoa; Arthropoda; Insecta; Hymenoptera; Cephidae
Exons: 3
Source: RefSeq, a predicted model, not a curated record